Molecule: long non-coding RNA, 237 nt
Organism: Pollicipes pollicipes
Lineage: Eukaryota; Metazoa; Arthropoda; Thecostraca; Pollicipedomorpha; Pollicipedidae
Exons: 3
Source: RefSeq, a predicted model, not a curated record
CAUGCAAUCAAGGCGCGCAUAAUCAAUUGAAAGCUGCACCGCCGAUUUGUGCUUCGGUUGGUGUCGAUUAGGUUAGUGAGAAUUGUGAGAGGAGCUGAUGUUCAUAAACCAAGAUGGAUUUGUUGAAAGAGAGGCUUCAGGAACUUGCAGCCAAAGGACGUCUGUCGGAGGAAGAAAAGCAGAAACAGAAAGAAAAGGAAGACACUGAGGUUGAGAAGCUUUACACUGAGUGGAAGG